RNAcentral lists this transfer RNA (71 nucleotides) under Candidatus Nanopusillus sp. Its description in RNAcentral is "tRNA-Pro". It matches the Rfam family "tRNA". From Rfam's summary of the family: Transfer RNA (tRNA) molecules are approximately 80 nucleotides in length. Their secondary structure includes four short double-helical elements and three loops (D, anti-codon, and T loops). The record is from RNAcentral. Lineage: Archaea; Nanobdellati; Nanobdellota; Candidatus Nanoarchaeia; Nanoarchaeales; Nanopusillaceae.
GGGGCCGUCGGCUAGCGGGAGGCUGCCGGGUUUGGGUCCCGGUGACCGGGGUUCGAAUCCCCGCGGCCCCA